UACAGAGGGUGCGAACGUUGUUCGGAACCACUGGGCAUAAAGCGCACGUAGGCGGCACCAUAAGUGCGAGGUGAAAUCCCACGGCUUACCCGUGGAACUGCUUUGCAGACUGUGGUGCUAGAGGAUGGUAGGGGAGAGCGGAACUCUUGGUGGAGCGGUGAAAUGCGUAGAGAUCAAGAGGAACACCGGUGGCGAAGGCGGCCCUCUGGUCCAUAUCUGACGCUGAGGUGCGAAAGCUAGGGGAGCAAACGGG
This 253-nucleotide unclassified non-coding RNA is filed under the name uncultured Planctomycetota bacterium. RNAcentral describes it as "uncultured planctomycete contains 16S-23S intergenic spacer region". It matches the Rfam family "Bacterial small subunit ribosomal RNA", at positions 524 to 776 of the family's 1533-position model. Lineage: Bacteria; Pseudomonadati; Planctomycetota. The record is from RNAcentral.